GGGUAAAGGAUGGGUCGGGAGGCAGUAGAGAGAAGACAUUGCUGGAAGUGGCAGCAGAGGAGAUCACAUGACCACAUCAAUAAGAAUGGAGAAAGACUGGAGUCACAUGACUGAGAAGAUACUAAACUUCACCCUGGAGAUCAUCUACCUGCUGACUGGAGAGAGAUUUCCUCUUGUGAA
Long non-coding RNA from Rana temporaria (common frog), 180 nucleotides. RefSeq lists it as uncharacterized. The transcript has 3 exons. The record is from RefSeq and is a predicted model, not a curated record. Lineage: Eukaryota; Metazoa; Chordata; Amphibia; Anura; Ranidae.